GACGAACGCUGGCGGCGUGCUUAACACAUGCCAGUCGAACGGUAAGGACCUGCUUUUGCGGGGUUCUCAAGUGGCGAAAGGGUGAGUAUCACGUGAGUAGCCUGCCCUUUACUUUGGGAUAACUUCAGUAAACACGGGCUAAUAUCGCACAUGAUCUCCUUCAGCAUGGUGGGUGUUGUAAAGUUGCGGCGGUUCGGGAUGGACGCGCGGCUUAUCAUCUUGUUGGUGGGGUAGUGGCUUACCAAGGCUUUGACGGGUAGCUGGCUUGAGAGGGUGACCGGCCACAUAGGGACUGAGAUACGAGCCAGACGCCUACGGGAGGCAGGGGUGGGGAAUAGUGCGAGAUGGGCGGAAGCCGGAUGCAGCAACGCCGGGUGCGGGAUGACGGCCUUCGGGUUGUAAACCGCUUGCGCCUGUGACGAAGCGUGAGUGACGGUAAUGGGUAAAGAAGCACCGGCUAACUACGUG
RNAcentral lists this ribosomal RNA (468 nucleotides) under uncultured bacterium. RNAcentral's name for it is "partial 16S ribosomal RNA". It matches the Rfam family "Bacterial small subunit ribosomal RNA", at positions 28 to 507 of the family's 1533-position model. The record is from RNAcentral.